CCCGCCAAAUCUUGCUCUCUCCUCAUCGUCCCCUCUCGCCGCGUUUCUACCCUUCCGAAUUCUCUCGCUACGUUUUCUUGACGCCACCGCUUCCUUCCCGAUGGUGGCGUCGUGCUUGAGGCCCUGGAUUGCCACCGGAGGUUGGGACGCCCUUAGAUCCGAAGGGAACACUUGGGAUUCCGGCCGUCUCCGAGCGAUCUUUAACGCUCGGUCGAGGGUUUACCGCGCCGAGGGAUGGCGACGCGUCGCUUGGCUACUGUAGUUCCGAUCGGCAUUCCAGGAAUGGACUCGCCGGCGAGAAUCAGCGGUUCGUCGAGUGGUUACGACAGGCGUGGCGGUACAUACGGAGGGCACAGUGGGAGCACGUUCGUGGUGGUAAUAUCGGGGGAGAUCGUGGAUGAUUCUGAGUUGGACAGCAUUCUUCAGGUACCUGGUGGUUCUUCUUCUUCUUCUUGGCUUAUUCUUUUGGAUUUCCUUUCGUCGGUUUGAUCUAUCGUCUUUUCUGUGCCGUGGAGCCGACUGUUUUCUAUGACGAUCUAAUUUGGCGGUGCAAGAUUAAUUUACUCUUUUCUAUGAUCAAAUUUGGCGGUGAAAGAAUAGUUUCGUUUUCGUGAUCAGAUUUGGCAGUGAAAGAUUAAUUUAUUUUUUUUUCUUGGUCAUGAAAUUUGGUGGUUAAAGAUCAAUUAAUUGUUAAUAAAUAAAUAUGACUUUUCUUGGGAAGGUAAACAUAUGAGGUAAAAAGCGUUUGAAAAGUUGGGUGGUUCAUGAGCGUAGUACCCAUUUCUUCCUUUAAUCAAAACGGAGUGCAAUGGAGUUUGUGACCCGAUCGUGUAGUUAAUUGCAAGAUCCAACGGCGUGAUCGUUUGUGUUCCAGACGCAAUUGGGUUGGGAGCUUGUGGAAGAAGGGUUUUGGAAAAUAAUGAAUCAUGUAAUCCUAGUCUUACGUUGUGUUAAUUAAUUUAAAGCUGUUUGGGCUUUGAACUAUCAGUUUUGACAAAAUGGAAGCCUCUAAAAUCUGGUGACAGGGAAACCCUAUGUGUUUUCUAUCGUGAGCACCUUUGUUGGGUUCGAGUUCCACCGAUCAAUCAACCUAGACAUUCAAACGCAGGUUCUUUCUUUGGAUUCUGUUCAUGUGGCGGCAUGUGACAUAACAUAACAGAGUAGUUUUGUCCCAAAAGAUGUAAUAGAAAU
RNAcentral lists this long non-coding RNA (1191 nucleotides) under Musa acuminata (dwarf banana). Its description in RNAcentral is "long non-coding RNA (MACU_LNC004882)". The record is from RNAcentral. Lineage: Eukaryota; Viridiplantae; Streptophyta; Magnoliopsida; Zingiberales; Musaceae.